Molecule: long non-coding RNA, 602 nt
Organism: Asparagus officinalis (garden asparagus)
Lineage: Eukaryota; Viridiplantae; Streptophyta; Magnoliopsida; Asparagales; Asparagaceae
Exons: 3
Source: RefSeq, a predicted model, not a curated record
CGGAAAACCCUAACCCUAUAAUCACUUUCUCCGAUCUCAAUUAAGUCAAAUUUUUUUGAACUUCUUCAUGAAGAAUCCAUCUCUACGUUCCAAUUUCUCGGGAUUAAAUCCCCUUCGAUUCAAGUAAAAUGGGUCAGGUACUCAUGAUAAGCUGAACUCUUUAUAACAGAUGCACUCUUUUUGAAGCCCGGAAAGAUCAGAGUUGGAUUUGAUCAGCACAGGGCCUUGGAGCCUUCAGCGAGACAAAUGCAUUGAGAAGGGUCCCUUUGUAUAUGUCACUAAGCCAACAGUUAUAGGCUCUAUCGACACAAGUGAAUUCUUGGAUGGUUGGAUUUUGCUGUGGAUUGACAAGUUCUUUAGCAGAAAGGAUUUGGAUGAUUAGUACAUGUUCUUGCUAUUUAGGUACAGGAAGCACAAAUUGGUGGCUGUCAUUCAGGUCCUGGAGAAAGUGCGUCCCUCGGCUUUGUUGGAGAAACCAUCAAGAGACAACACUCAUGGGCUCUGAGGCAUCAGGAGGAGAAAGCGCAAAAACUGCAGCCUGAUACAGUUGCGUCGAGCCAGUGCCAAUGACAAUAUACCGGUCCUCAGUCACAGCAUUGCCA